GGUUAAGUUAGAAAGGGCGCACGGUGGAUGCCUUGACACUAGGAGUCGAUGAAGGACGGGACUAACGCCGAUAUGCUUCGGGGAGCUGUAAGUAAGCUUUGAUCCGAAGAUUUCCGAAUGGGGAAACCCACCAUACGUAAUGGUAUGGUAUCCUUAUCUGAAUACAUAGGGUAAGGAAGACAGACCCAGGGAACUGAAACAUCUAAGUACCUGGAGGAAGAGAAAGCAAAUGCGAUUUCCUGAGUAGCGGCGAGCGAAACGGAACAUAGCCCAAACCAAGAGGCUUGCCUCUUGGGGUUGUAGGACAUUCUAUACGGAGUUACAAAGGAACGAGGUAGACGAAGCGACCUGGAAAGGUCCGUCGUAGAGGGUAACAACCCCGUAGUCGAAACUUCGUUCUCUCUUGAAUGUAUCCUGAGUACGGCGGAACACGUGAAAUUCCGUCGGAAUCUGGGAGGACCAUCUCCCAAGGCUAAAUACUCCCUAGUGAUCGAUAGUGAACCAGUACCGUGAGGGAAAGGUGAAAAGCACCCCGGAAGGGGAGUGAAAGAGAUCCUGAAACCGUGUGCCUACAAAUAGUCAGAGCCCGUUAACGGGUGAUGGCGUGCCUUUUGUAGAAUGAACCGGCGAGUUACGAUCCCGUGCGAGGUUAAGCUGAAGAGGCGGAGCCGCAGCGAAAGCGAGUCUGAAUAGGGCGUUUAGUACGUGGUCGUAGACCCGAAACCAGGUGAUCUACCCAUGUCCAGGGUGAAGUUCAGGUAACACUGAAUGGAGGCCCGAACCCACGCACGUUGAAAAGUGCGGGGAUGAGGUGUGGGUAGCGGAGAAAUUCCAAUCGAACCUGGAGAUAGCUGGUUCUCCCCGAAAUAGCUUUAGGGCUAGCCUUAAGUGUAAGAGUCUUGGAGGUAGAGCACUGAUUGGACUAGGGGUCCUCAUCGGAUUACCGAAUUCAGUCAAACUCCGAAUGCCAAUGACUUAUCCUUAGGAGUCAGACUGCGAGUGAUAAGAUCCGUAGUCAAAAGGGAAACAGCCCAGACCGCCAGCUAAGGUCCCAAAGUGUGUAUUAAGUGGAAAAGGAUGUGGAGUUGCUUAGACAACUAGGAUGUUGGCUUAGAAGCAGCCACCAUUUAAAGAGUGCGUAAUAGCUCACUAGUCGAGUGACUCUGCGCCGAAAAUGUACCGGGGCUAAAUACACCACCGAAGCUGCGGAUUGAUACCAAUGGUAUCAGUGGUAGGGGAGCGUUCUAAGGACAGUGAAGUCAGACCGGAAGGACUGGUGGAGUGCUUAGAAGUGAGAAUGCCGGUAUGAGUAGCGAAAGACGGGUGAGAAUCCCGUCCACCGAAUGCCUAAGGUUUCCUGAGGAAGGCUCGUCCGCUCAGGGUUAGUCAGGACCUAAGCCGAGGCCGACAGGCGUAGGCGAUGGACAACAGGUUGAUAUUCCUGUACCACCUCUUUAUCGUUUGAGCAAUGGAGGGACGCAGAAGGAUAGAAGAAGCGUGCGAUUGGUUGUGCACGUCCAAGCAGUUAGGCUGAUAAGUAGGCAAAUCCGCUUAUCGUAAAGGCUGAGCUGUGAUGGGGAAGCUCCUUAUGGAGCGAAGUCUUUGAUUCCCCGCUGCCAAGAAAAGCUUCUAGCGAGAUAAAAGGUGCCUGUACCGCAAACCGACACAGGUAGGCGAGGAGAGAAUCCUAAGGUGUGCGAGAGAACUCUGGUUAAGGAACUCGGCAAAAUGACCCCGUAACUUCGGGAGAAGGGGUGCUUUCUUAACGGAAAGCCGCAGUGAAUAGGCCCAAGCGACUGUUUAGCAAAAACACAGCUCUCUGCGAAGCCGUAAGGCGAAGUAUAGGGGGUGACACCUGCCCGGUGCUGGAAGGUUAAGGAGAGGGGUUAGCGUAAGCGAAGCUCUGAACUGAAGCCCCAGUAAACGGCGGCCGUAACUAUAACGGUCCUAAGGUAGCGAAAUUCCUUGUCGGGUAAGUUCCGACCCGCACGAAAGGUGUAACGAUUUGGGCACUGUCACAACCAGAGACUCGGUGAAAUUAUAGUACCUGUGAAGAUGCAGGUUACCCGCGACAGGACGGAAAGACCCCGUGGAGCUUUACUGUAGCCUGAUAUUGAAUUUUGGUACAGUUUGUACAGGAUAGGCGGGAGCCUUUGAAACCGGAGCGCUAGCUUCGGUGGAGGCGCUGGUGGGAUACCGCCCUGACUGUAUUGAAAUUCUAACCUACGGGUCUUAUCGACCAGGGAGACAGUGUCAGGUGGGCAGUUUGACUGGGGCGGUCGCCUCCUAAAGUGUAACGGAGGCGCCCAAAGGUUCCCUCAGAAUGGUUGGAAAUCAUUCGUAGAGUGCAAAGGCAUAAGGGAGCUUGACUGCGAGACCUACAAGUCGAGCAGGGACGAAAGUCGGGCUUAGUGAUCCGGUGGUUCCGCAUGGAAGGGCCAUCGCUCAACGGAUAAAAGCUACCCCGGGGAUAACAGGCUUAUCUCCCCCAAGAGUCCACAUCGACGGGGAGGUUUGGCACCUCGAUGUCGGCUCAUCGCAUCCUGGGGCUGUAGUCGGUCCCAAGGGUUGGGCUGUUCGCCCAUUAAAGCGGUACGCGAGCUGGGUUCAGAACGUCGUGAGACAGUUCGGUCCCUAUCCGUCGUGGGCGUAGGAAAUUUGAGAGGAGCUGUCCUUAGUACGAGAGGACCGGGAUGGACGCACCGCUGGUGUACCAGUUGUUCUGCCAAGGGCAUAGCUGGGUAGCUAUGUGCGGAAGGGAUAAGUGCUGAAAGCAUCUAAGCAUGAAGCCCCCCUCAAGAUGAGAUUUCCCAUAGCGUAAGCUAGUAAGAUCCCUGAAAGAUGAUCAGGUUGAUAGGUUCGAGGUGGAAGCAUGGUGACAUGUGGAGCUGACGAAUACUAAUAGAUCGAGGACUUAACCAUAUA
This 2925-nucleotide ribosomal RNA is filed under the name Bacillus cereus FRI-35. Its description in RNAcentral is "bacterial LSU rRNA". It matches the Rfam family "Bacterial large subunit ribosomal RNA". The record is from RNAcentral. Lineage: Bacteria; Bacillati; Bacillota; Bacilli; Caryophanales; Bacillaceae.